This is a long non-coding RNA of Alligator mississippiensis (American alligator), 9701 nucleotides long. RefSeq lists it as uncharacterized. The record is from RefSeq and is a predicted model, not a curated record. Lineage: Eukaryota; Metazoa; Chordata; Crocodylia; Alligatoridae. The transcript has 15 exons.
GGGGCCUGAUCUCUCUUCUUCCCCCUCCCCCAGCCUGCGUGCAUCUGUGGGCAGGCUCCAGAGCACUGUGGUUGUUUCAUUAAGCAUGGUGACGAGCUGCUGAGAUUAGACCAUCGGAGCGCUCUGGAGAGACGGAAUAAGCCUCUGGAAGGGGGAAAACUUAUAGAGCGGAUGACUGGUUCCUAUGGAGGGGGUGAGGGGUGGAAUAGAGCUGCUUCUGUAACUCUUUGGGUGGGAGUUGUUCUGCCCUCGGUGCUGUGAGGACUGGAAGUGGAGUUGCUUGUAAGGUUUUUUUUGGUUGUGGUGGGGUCGGUUGGCCUUUCUGCCAAAGUUUCUAGGGUCUGAGAAGCAAGUGUAAUGAAGAGACCUAGAGCUGAUGACUCGUGGAGGGAGCAAGAGGCUGGGUGUGUGCUUCUGGAUUCCCUGUGGUGAGGCCUCUGCCCCUGUGCCCUUAGCUGCCUUGGAGCGGGACAUGGUCACAGCCUGGGGGAGGUGCAAGCUUCCUUGGAUGGGUGUGGGGUUGUCUUUGAUUUGUCAGUUUGUUGCAAGGCACAGGGAUGGCUUCUGGGAGCUUGGAGACACUGGGUGGUGGGGCCUGGAUGUGUGUGUAUGCUGUUUGGGAGGGAUUUCCCCUGCCUUUCAGUCUGCUCUUGAUUGACCCUGUGGGCUCCGUGGCUUGUUUUGUCUUUCAGGAUCCUGGCUGUUGUGGAGAGACUUUGAGUUGGAGAUGGAUGCAAAGAAGUGGAGGCGUGCCAUGGUGAUGGAGGAUAGAGCAGGAGGAGUAGUGUGAUGGAAGGUGGACUUACCUCAAGCGGGGGUGGUGUUUUGAGUGGGGGUGUCUGGGUGGGCUGGGAAGUCCCUGCUCUGGGUUGGUGUCCUGAGCUGCACGCUCCCAGGGCAGGGCUACUCAAGCGGAGGGCCAUGGCACCCAGGAGUGCCUCUGAGAUGAGUGGUGUACGGCUGGGCUGGCUUGGCCCAGAGUUGCUCUGAGUCUGUGCAAAGAUCUCCAGGUUGCGGUGGGACAGAGGAUUGGGUCUCUGCCUGGCUGUACCUGUUGCCACAUGCCUCCUUUCAGUGCUGGGAAUUGCAUUUAUGUCUCAUCUCUCUGGGUGUGUCACUGGUGUCUGUCUUUGUACUUCUGUUCUUAAAAAUCACUGCAGCACUUGUUACUUUGUUCUUCCCAGGACUGAAAGGAGGGUUGUGUUUGCAUGUAAAUUGAUCCCCUCACUUGGGAGGGGUGUAGCUGCAGCCCCCUGCGGUUUGUUAGUGGGGCCAGUCCAAGCUGCUGUUGUACCCCUGGUUGGGAGGGAGGGGAUGCUGUCCCGUUGGUGGUGUGAGACCUGCGCAUAGCGCUGCAAGUGUUAAUUUCUGUUGUUCAUUUUUGGCGGUGUGGACAUGUUUGGCAAGAUGACCAAAGUCUGGUCCUGAGUGGAGAAGAGCUAAGGAAGAGGUGAAGAGCCCUGGAGCUGGUAUGGCGUGGAAGGAGUUGGAGACGGCCUGAAGCCAUGCUCACGUGAUCACCUGGAGCGAGGUAUUUGCUUCUUGUGGGUUGCAGCUCUGGAUGGAGAGAUCCUGCAGUUGCAGGUGCCUGCAUUGUAUCUGGGAAAGGGAUAGCAAGCAUGAGGACUGAUGGCGCACAAGGACUGAAGGCGCAGCGUGAUGCCAGGUGUGGAGCCAUCUUCUGAAGGCUUGAGGGCUGUGGAGCAGACUCUGUGAAGAUGAAGUGAAGAGUCCCAGAGAUGGUGCAGGAGGAAACGGGCAGCCCUGUUGUGACUUCCUGAUUUGCGUGGUGUGAGGCCUCUUCCCCUGUGGCAUCACCUGGCUGGAGUCUGGGGAGGUUUUGUGUGUAGCUUUGCAGGCGGUGCGUCUCCGCUCCCACUUCUUGCUGUGAGGAUGCCUGGAUAAGCAGCAGCAUGAUUGUGGCUGGGUGGCCUCAAUGUUGUGGGGGAGAGGAACAGAAGCGAGGCUUCUGCGGUGGUGGUAGAAGAUGGAGGAACUGGAUCCCGAAAGGUGGGCUGGGUUAAAGUGGGAGGCUGGGUUGCGUUUUCCCUGGUCGUGUUUGGGUGGGGAAGGAAACGCCUUGUGCGUAAUGGGGUCUGGAGCUGCGUGCUGUCUGGGAAGUGAUGCUGAAGCAGGGACUUGUGGCCCUUAGGGAUGCUGCAGAGCAGGGGGUGUAAGCCUGAAUUGGGUUUAGUUUGGUGGUGAGACCUGACUCCUUGUAAAGGCUGGAAAUUGUCCUUGAGUAUAUUAGGGGUUUCAGUGUUUGCCCCUGGCUUCUGGGUGCAGGUGACAGCAUUGGAUGUGCUGGGACAGAGGAGCGGGUGCGUGCGUGUCCGCCUCUGCCUGGCUGUUGCUGCUGCCACUGGUCUUCCUUCAGUUCUGGGAAUUGCACUCUGUCCUAUGUCUCUGGGUGUGUCACUGGUGUUUCUUUCUACUUUGAUAUCUAAAAUCACAGCAGCACUUCUUCUUUCUUUCUUUGCUCUUCCCAGAGCUGGAAGGAUAGGUGUGUUUGCAACUGAAUUGAUCCCCUCAUUUGGGUGGGCUUUGACUGCACCCUGUGUGCCUCGCGUGCGAGUGGGGGUGUUAUGCUUUCGGUGUCCUAGGCUGCUGGGGGUGGGGGGCGUUGUCUCUGCUGUCAGUACUAUGAGACGUGAAUACUGUUGCGUGUAGUAAUUGCUUGUUGUUUUGGGUGUGAUGUUAAUAUGUCGAGCGUGAGUGGAGAAGAGCUGAGGCGAAGAGACCUAGAGCCAGCGCUAGGUAGAAGCGGGUGGAGGAAGCAGGUGGUUGUGCAGCCAUGCUCGCUUCUGGGUCACCUGGAGGGAGGCCUCUGCCUGUUCGGUGGACCUGUGUGCAUGAGCAGAGCCUGCAGAGGUCCCUGCUUCCCCUGUGUGGAGAGGAUGGCAAGGAGGGAGGAGAGUGCGCUGGAGGAAGAGGAGCGUGAUGCCAGGUCCCAUGAGUGCUGUCUCUUGGGGUGAGGCCCUUCUCACAGAUGGAUGGGUGCACCCUGGGCAGGCACGUCUUGGAGAGCUGGUCCUGACCUGUGCAGAGGGAAAUGACUGCCGGUUGAAGGAGUGAAGCUGAGCAGCGCCCACGGAGGGUGAAGCAGGAGGAACUCGAUGCCGCACGGCGUGUCGGUGCCGGAUGGGCAGUUCUGGCAAUUGGUUUCUUUUUUUCUCCAGCCCAGUCCUGGGUGUUGGGCAUUGACUAGGUAGGGUAGACGACUGGAGAUCGAUCUGGAUGUUUCUGACUGGGUCCUGGUCCUUGGAGAGAAGUUUGAGCAGAGAAGGGUGGAAGAUGGAGGCAGAGAGGAUGGUGCAAGCAGGGGGUCUUUUUACCAAGACUUUUGGGGCAGGGAGGAGAAGUGGAGAUUGGGCAGAAGAAGAGAAGACAUCUUGAAGUCAUGAACCAUGGAGCUGCCUGUCAUUGGUGCGUGGAGCAUGUGAUGGGUGCUUGUGCUGUAGCUCUGUCGUGAGGAGCAGGGCAGGGGCAGUGACAUGCUGAGGGCUGGAGAAGGAGCACCACAAAGAUGGCUGUGAGGCCUUGGUCAGGCGUGAAGUAUGUGAGCCAGGAGAGUCGUACAGCACACACGCAGGAUGGAGGGCAACAAGUCGAGCGGGGGGCUUUUUUGGCCAGGGCUGCUGUGAAAUCUGGUGUAGGGCUGGGCCAGCCGGUCCGAGUCUGUCGGAGUCCACGUAUAGGAGAAACGACGGAUGUCUAAGGAGCUUGUGGGGCGUUUGAUCCGGGCUCAUCCCUGGCACUUGGGGUGCAGGCCUGGCCCCUCUCUGGGGUGUGUUGAGGGUGAGCUCUGGGUUUGCGUUCAUGCCCCUGACUUGCUGUUGCUACAGGCCUCCCUUCAGUCUUGGGAACAGCGCUAUGUCCUGUGUGCCUGGGGGUGUCACUGGUGUCUCUCUCUUUCUACCUCUUUGCAAAAUGUCUGCAGCACUUGUUCUUUUUCUGCUCUUGUCAGGACUGGAGGGAAGGCUGUGGUGGGUUUUUUCCUGCCACCUAAAAUGGUUUCUACCUCGGGGAGGGGUCUGACUGCACCCUGUGUGCCCUGUUUAGGCUGGGUGGGGGUAUCGCCUUUGAAUUCUCGGGGGUUGCUUUUGCCCUCAGGGCUGUGAGUCCCGUGUGCCGCGUGACUUUUCCUAAUUUAUUUUUGUUUUGGUGACAUGUACGGGAGUCAUCUGGCUGAGGCUCGAGGCUCCUAAGUGGGCAUCGGGAAGAAGAGGUGGAGAUAUAGCGCCUGUGACCUGAGGAAGCUGGUGAAAGAAACGGAUGUCGGCGCAUUCGCUUUGCUGUUGCCCGGUGUGAGACUUCUGCCCAUGUGGUGGCCCUGGGCUGGAAGCCUUGCUGCGUGUGAAGCCUGCGAUAGAUGUUGGAUUGCUGCUCCCUGUGUGUUGAGGAGGAUGGGCUGCAAUGACUGGAGGCCUGGAAAAGGAGCCGUGUGGCCAGGGUCCUGGCCUGCAUGGAGGGAAGUAGGUGAGAGGACUGCAUCGUGGAAGAGCCGUGGGACAGUGUUGGAUGACAGACACGGACCGGCCGGAUGUUGCCCGCUACGUUGGAAUGUCCCUUCUGUAUUGGGAUUCUGCGUGGGGGUGUGGGGUGGGUUUGGGAGUGUCCUCAGCUUUAUGAUCCUGGAGCCAGGGGUUUGCAAGUAGUAUGUUUGGGUCAGUUUGUCUGUGCUGUGGGUGGACCUAGGGUGACCAGAGGUGAAAUCCAUUCCUGUGACCCUGUAGUUGGACGAGCACCCAGACACUUGCAGGAACCGCUGGGCAAGCAGGCCCAGAGCUUUCAACUGUUGAGCACGGCAAUGCUGGAGCCAGCUAGCAUGGAAGCAGAAGGGCUGGCCGGGCGCGGGGCCCGGGCUGCCUCUGUGGCUUCUGUGCUAGUGAGGUUGAGAAUUGCAGUGCUGGGGGGUUGGAGGUUUUGGACCUGCUUGUGCAGGGUUCUUGUUGGUGUUGGGGUGCUGGUUCUGCUGGGUCAGAGCAAUGGGUUUUAUUCUGCCUGACUGCCAUGUUUACCGUGUCCUGCAGGGCUGGGAGCCUGUCGUAGCAGUGUGUGUUUGGCUGGGGCGGGGUGGUUGUCUGGUUUGGUCCCUGAGCAGUGUGGUGAGCAUGUUUGUUAUUACCCUGAAAUAAAAUAGUUUUCUGAUAGCCUACUGUUAGGCUAACAAUAAUUUAGAUUAUUAAGAAGUAUUAGCUUUGCAGUUGAAUACAAGGCAUGACCUGUGGCCUAGCAAUGCCGCUGACCACAAGGCAGAAUGAUAGCUAAGCCUUUGCUUAUGUUAAGUAAUCAUUUUAACUGUGUUGACUAUUUUCUGAGUAAAAUGCAGCAAGUGAAUCUGUCUGUGUGCUGUAAACCAGAUACAGCAAGGAACAAGGUAAGAGGAAGAAGCCAUUGUUCUAAGUACAGUGAUCGUGUCCUUAAGAAGUAUCUAGUACUGUGCAAGUUUUUGCUAAGAUAUCAUAAUGUUACUGUUACUUACGUUAGAAAAUAUUGUUGGAAAAUCAAUGUGACCUUUGUAUGACCUUUGGUCAAUGCUGGCUGAUGCAACCUUGCAGUAAGAUUGCCAUGAUCUGUCAAUAUAGGCGGGCAGACAAGGUGAUUGGGCCCAACCGUGCGGGGUGAGCAAAGCCAAGCCAUCUUGGUGAUUUUCUCUGAGUUUUGGGCAUGCGUUAUGAAGGAGCUUAUGGAACCAGAGUUUAUAAAUCUAUGUGUUGAGUUGCAGUCGGGGGGUCUCUCUGCCCUUACGAGGACAGGGGACCUUUGGUCGAAUAAACUGAAAAGACCACACCCUCAUCUCUUGCUUGUUGGAGUCUCAGCUGGGAAACGAGCUCUGUUCGGGUUAAGAGAGUCUGCAGGUGUUCCCUUACCAGAUUGGGAGCCUGGUCAGACAAUUUCUCUCACAAUUUGGCGAGCCAGCCAGGAGCACCCAGCUCGUCGCGUUGCCGCUGCCGCCUAAACCCAACCUCCGGCCGGCCGUAACACAGGUGAGUUCACCACGGGAGUCUUGGGUUAAGGCUGCAGACACGGCGGGACGAUAAGGUGACUCCUUCAAUUUUACUGGCAUGGUGUGGUCUUUUAUAUGUUGUGUAUGUCUUGUCUAACGUGUUAUAGGCCAGUCUGUUCUCCGGAUUCUCAAACCUGGGCACACAGGCAAUUUUAGUUAAUUGCCCGUUCGACUCUUUUGAGCCGAUAAAUCUGUGUGGCGCGUUUUAUGUCUCCAUUCGCGCACUGAGGAACCGUCUCUGUUUCUGACCUUUUAACUGGAUAAGUCCUCCAACCUGUUUGAGGCAUCUUAGAGGCCUGCCUUUCCAGGUUGGUUAGGUCUAGGGCAGCCAAGAAAGCAGGGUUUUUGGGGAGCUUAAUAGUAUAUCAGGUUAUCUGGGAAAGGGAUGUCCGCCAAGAAUGACGAUGGGACAGAAACAGUCAAUUCUGGCUAGUAGUCCUCUUGGAGAAUUGUUAAGCAACUGGAAUAAGUUAUCUGGACAUGGCCAAUUGAGUAAGAAGCGCGCUAUAGCCUUAUGUACUAGUGUCUGGCCCGGCUACACUUAUAAAAACCCUGAACUUCAGUGGCCAGUGUUGGGAUCCCUCAGUGUAGAUAAAUGAAGGUACCUCAGGGGGUUCCUAGAGGAACCCCAUCCCCGACUAAUGGAUUAUUGGUAUCUCUGGUGUGAUUUGAUGGAUUUAAUUCUGCAGAGGAAAAAAAAAACUGAUUACUUCUGGCCGCUCAACAACGUCUGUGGUGUCUUCUCCCCCUUAUUCUCCCACUAUGCCACCAUUGGUGACUAGGGGACCAGCCAUAAUAAACCCGGCCGCUUAGGCCGUGGCCCUUCCGGCACCUUUUACCCCUCCAUCAGGCUCCUCUCCUCCCGUAACAGGAGUGUCAGGGUCUGUACGUGCCUCCUCGGAGCCUACUUUCAGUCCCAUAGCAGGACAUACUAGGUAGCGUUUGAAUCAGGUCAUACACCUGCUGUUGUACACAUGUAAUGACAUCUGCACACCCCCAUCACACAUGCAGUCACGCCUGUUCAGAGUCCCUUACAGACACGCGCCUGCACAGAACCCCAAAACACACUGCGACAUACACAUGUGCCCCAACAGGUGUCCGUGACACACUUGCACACAAAUGUGCAUCCUCGCACACAUGCAUGUGCACAGUCUCACACACGCACCCAGAGCCCAGGUGCUUGUGACACGUGCAUGCUCACACACAUGGAACUCAGGUGUCUGACACACAUGCAUAUGUGCUCUCGCGGACACAGUCUAGCACACAUGUACAGAACCCAAGUGUCUGUGGCACACAGGCAAGUACCCUGACAUAUUCACAUUCACACACACACAAGCCCACAUGGGUAGAUAUGAAUCAACCUGCCCCCAAUGAUGUGUGCAAUUAUUGUAAACAAUUGGGGCAUUGGAGACGAGAACGCCCAAACUGCCCUAAGGGACUUCCCCCUUAUGGAGGAAGAAAGGGGGGAACCCAGGGAAACAACCGGGCUGCCAGCACCGAUCCUACAGAUCCCUGGGUCCAGAGUUUGCAAGAAGAUAUAGAUGACUCCCAGUGAAAUAAGGGGGCGGCUCUUCCACACGAUGUAUUUAGGGGAAUCUUCCUCUUUUGAGUAUACCUGCGCCCCUUCAUCCCCUUAUGUACCACUUCAAAUAGCAGGAAAAUUUAUAAAUGUCUUAUAGAUAGAGGAGCAGAUCUGUCCUCACUGGGAGAAUCUCCAGAAAGGGCGGGAAUUGCAGUCUCAGGAUCUGAAAAGAUUAUGAGAGUAAUUGGAAAAUCUAUGCAAGUGCCCCGUGGCACUGAAACACAAGUGCAGAUAGGACCCUUGACCACUAUUCAUGCUUUCCUAUUAGCUGAAGGAACUGUAGUGCACCUCCUUGGAAGAAAUCUACUCUAUAAACUACAGACCAGAAACCCUUCACCCUACUUACUCAUGAGAAUCAAGGCGUUGCUUCAGGUGUCUUAACUCAGCCAUGGGGAGUUUCUAAUCGUCCCAUAGCAUACUAUUCUGCUCAGUUAGAUCCUGUAGCAAGGGCAGCAAUUCUCUGUCUUAGAGCAGUCGCUGCUGCCGCUGUGCUAGUUCAAAAGGCUCAAGAUUUAGUGUUAGGACACUCUCUUGUGGUUGAAAUAUCUCAUUCAGUGGAAGCUCUCCUACUACAGCACAACCUCUGCCAGCAGGGACCAACGCCCAGGCCGCUGAGCUAGCGGCACUCUGACGAGCAUGCAAAUUGGCCACAGCCUCCAGGGUCACUAUCUAUACUGACUCUAAAUAUGCUUUUAGUAUCUGUCAUGCGCUAGGACAGUCCUGGUGACAAAGAGGUUUUAUCACGUCCUCUGAUGCUGUAAUCAGCAAUGCCACGGAAGUCCAAGAACUGCUAGAGGCUGUCGUGUUACCAGGUGAUAUAGCGGUAAUGCACGGUCCCAGACAUUCCAGAGAAGAUACUGACAUCGCUAAAGGAAAGCAUCUUGCAGAUGCUGUAGCUAGAGCCGCUGCACUACAAACUAAAGGAAGUCUCCUUGCAUCUCAAGUUGUUCUUCCACCCUUGUCUGUGAUUUAUGACAAAGUCCCAGCGGAUGAAGUAUCUAUAUGGGUCCAAAAGUGGGAAGCUGCGCAAGGAAAGGAUGGAGUGUGACGUGUGCCAGACGGUAGACCAAUUGCUCCUCGCACCUUGCUCCGAAGUCUGGCUCAGGAUGCCCACAGAUGCUGUCAGUCGGGAAAAGGAGAAAUAGCAGAACAGGUCCUCUCCACCUGGUUUGCUCCAGGUAUACAUCUAGAAGCUGCCCGAAUAACUCUGCAAUGUUCAGAGUGCAGAGCCUUCAACAAAUACAGAGGACACACAAAAUUACAAGGGGCCCGACCGUGGGCCUAUUUACCCUUUGAAAAACGACAUGGAUUUGCUCAAAGCUGUAAAUUUCAAGCACUGCCUAGUAGUGGUAGAUCAAGUAACAGGAUGGCCAGAAGCUUUCUCCACUCGAGAAGCGGAUUCAGUAGCGGUAGCCAAACCCGUAUUAAAAGAAAUCAUCCCACAUUUCGGCAUUCCAGGAGGAAUAAACUCUGACUGGGGAACUCACUUUACAGAAACUGUUUUAAAAGAAGUUUACAGAGUUUUUGGAAUAAUAACAUACUUGCACGCACCCUAUCGCCCUCUGUCCUCGGGUCAGGUAGAGAGUAUGAAUCAGAGUAUAAAAUCCCUUUUAGGAAAGAUCUGCUCCUAAACCAAAUUGAAAUGGUCAGAUGCUUUACCAAGGGUGCUGUUCGCUAUAAGAACAAAACCCAAAUGGCCUCUCAACCUUGUCCCCCUACGAGUUGUUGUUUGGUCACGCUCCUGUUAUAUAAGAGAUGGGAAAAUCUGCAUGUUAGCUUACUCGGCGGAGAUGAAGCUUUAAUUAGUUAUGUUUUAUCCUUACAGGAGUCUCUCUAGUGUUUACACAGGUCAGCUGCUUUGGUUCAGCUGGUACCCCUGGACUGUAACCUUCACUCCUAUCAAUCAGGACGCUGAGUUUGGGUAAAACAGCAUCGGUGAAAAACCGCCUCGGCCCAAGUCUGGGCAGGUCCGUACCAAGUUCUUCUUACUAUACACGCUGCUGUGAAAAUCGCCGAGAAAGAGGGCCGGAUUCAUCGCGGUCGCCUCAAACCUGGUAUCGGCAAGUAAUGACCGGUCAGCUGCUGUUCCGCCUUUAUGGCUAGAAAGAA